RNAcentral lists this ribosomal RNA (466 nucleotides) under uncultured bacterium. RNAcentral's name for it is "partial 16S ribosomal RNA". It matches the Rfam family "Bacterial small subunit ribosomal RNA", at positions 28 to 507 of the family's 1533-position model. The record is from RNAcentral.
GACGAACGCUGGCGGCGCGCCUAACACAUGCAAGUCGAACGAGCGAGCGAGAGCUUGCUUUCUCGAGCGAGUGGCGAACGGGUGAGUAACGCGUGAGGAACCUGCCCCAAAGAGGGGGACAACAGUUGGAAACGACUGCUAAUACCGCAUAAGCCCACGGUAAAGUAUGGCAUAGAGGGAAAAGGAGCAUUGGGUUGUGAGUUGGAUAGGUGUCCGAUUAGCUAGUUGGUGUGGUAAUGGCACACCAAGGCGACGAUCGGUAGCCGGACUGAGAGGUUGAACGGCCACAUUGGGACUGAGACACGGCCCAGACUCCUACACACUAGCCCAAUACAUAAUAUUUCACCAUCAAGGAAACCCUGAUGCACCGACGCCGCGUGGAGGAAGAAGGUCUUCGGAUUAUAAACUCCUAUUAUCUAUGACUAUAAUAACUAUCCCCCACAAGAAAGUGACGGCUAACUACCUA